UACAGAGGGUGCGAGCGUUAAUCGGAAUUACUGGGCGUAAAGCGCGCGUAGGCGGCUUUUCAAGCCGAUUGUGAAAUCCCCGGGCUUAACCUGGGAACUGCAGUCGGGACUGUCUAGCUAGAGUAUGGGAGAGGGAAGUGGAAUUUCAGGUGUAGCGGUGAAAUGCGUAGAUAUCUGAAGGAACAUCAGUGGCGAAAGCGACUUCCUGGACCAAUACUGACGCUCAUGUGCGAAAGCGUGGGGAGCAAAC
RNAcentral lists this ribosomal RNA (250 nucleotides) under uncultured bacterium. RNAcentral describes it as "partial 16S ribosomal RNA". It matches the Rfam family "Bacterial small subunit ribosomal RNA", at positions 524 to 773 of the family's 1533-position model. The record is from RNAcentral.